AGGCGGCUGGGGCAGUUGUUCAGUGCGGGGGCUGACUGAGGAGGUUCGGUGUCUGAGGCCAGCUAGGCGACUCAGUGUUCCCCUUGUCGUUCCAGUUUUCAGGAAGAGCUAAAGAUGGCUGAAUUUGUAGAUGACCAGGAUACUCAACUGUGUGACAACUG
Long non-coding RNA from Octodon degus (degu), 161 nucleotides. RefSeq lists it as uncharacterized. The record is from RefSeq and is a predicted model, not a curated record. The transcript is spliced from 2 exons. Lineage: Eukaryota; Metazoa; Chordata; Mammalia; Rodentia; Octodontidae.